Long non-coding RNA from Dromiciops gliroides (monito del monte), 1695 nucleotides. RefSeq lists it as uncharacterized. The record is from RefSeq and is a predicted model, not a curated record. The transcript has 3 exons. Lineage: Eukaryota; Metazoa; Chordata; Mammalia; Microbiotheria; Microbiotheriidae.
GGGAGAUGAACUCCAUGACCUCAAACUUCAAAUCAAUGAUUCUAUGAUUUCUGAAGCUUAGGUAUUUCUCUCUUUCCCUUCCUCCUUUCUCUCUUCCUCUAUGCCACUGGAUGACUGCUUUAGUCACAUACGUGCUUGGCCCUCUCCUUUGCCUUUUUAUCAGUCUCCAGAAAUGCACAGACUGAUAGACUAUAGAAUGUUAGCAGAAAAGGACCUUAGGGAUCUCCUAGUCCAAUCCUCUCAUUUUAUAGAUGGGGAAACUGAGGCCCAGGGAGGUGAAUUAAUUUGUGCAAGAUCACACAAGCAAUUACUUCUAGAGCCAGGGCUUAAAUCCAAGUUUCUUGACACCCACUUGAAAGCUGUUUCCUGACAGAAGGGUACUGUAAUGUAAUAGAAAGAACACUGGGAGUCAGGAGAUCCAGGUUUUUAACCCUGGAUCUAAUACUGACUGUGUGACCUUGAGUAGGAUCUGAAAUCUAGGACUGGAAGUCAACUCCAGAGGCCUUCUAGUCUAGCCUUCUUAUUUUGCAAAUGAGGAAACUGAGACCCUUUAAGAAGGAAGUCACUUGAUGUUAGUGAGGUUUAGUCUAUAAAAUGAAGAUAGCAAUCCUUCAGUUACCUACUUCCCAGAGUUGUUAUGAGAAAAGUGCUUUGUAAACAUUAAAAGUGCUCCAUCAAUGUGAGUUAGGAUUACCUUCCUGCAAAACCAAGAUCUCUGUGUUGAGUGUUGCUAUCAGUCGUUGCCUUUUCUGGGCACAGUAGGUUCAUUAUUUUACUUGCUUUCUCACUGCUUUGAAAAACAUGUCCUGAGCCUUCCACAUUUCUCAGUCAGAGAGGGUCCUCAGGGACUCUUCUGAUGGAUAAAUUUCAUCAAAGUUGCCUUUGUAUCAAACAGAGCUCAGUUUAACACAACCUUGCAAAUAGCUACCCCCAUCCAUCUCUCCUCCUGCCGUGGUACCAGCCUGCCACCAUUUAAAUUUUUUUUAAACCACUUCACCUUCCUUCUGGGAGCUGAACAAAUGAAAUCAAUAUCCUUUAUUAUUCACUGUCCCUGAACAGAGAGGUUAAAGCCUGAGUAUUUGUUCAACAGGGCAUAGUCUAGGUAGGAGAUGUCAUUGCCUUAAGAACUCUGUUUUAAGUCUACUUCAGACUGGCCGCCACUCUCCUUGAAAUGAUAUGACCAGAACAAGGUGCCUCAGCUGACACUUCAUCAGGAGCUGAAGAAUCCAUGUUAUCAGUCAACUCUCUACUGCAUGGCACAGUAGGAGACACCAGGUCACCAGGACAUCUGGAAUUGACUUCUGAAGCCCCAGAAAACAGAAGCAAUAGAGAACCAUUGAGGUUUCUGGAACAAGGAUGUGGUAGCUGUAUAGAGGAUGGAUUGGGAAAGGAUGAGGCUGAAGAAAGGAAGAUUCAUUAGGAGCAAGUCCAAUCUCAAGUUUGGCUCUAUGCAUCAGAUCAUCAAAAAGUCGUGGGGAGAAUGUGCUCGGGCCCUCCACACAGCGCUUCUCAAAUCCACUAAAAUCAACACAAUAAUUGAAAUAUUUUCAAGCUGAUUACACCGCAGCCCGAGGCUAGGCUGGUUGCUAAGGGUAAGCUCCCCGGUUGCUAGGGGGAGUAAAUCAUCUUGCAUUAUUUGAUUUUUGUUAUAGAUAUGAAACCGCUACUCCCUCGAUUAAAUGUCUCUCAGUCUAA